UGUUUUAGUCACGAAUUUCGAGAUUUGUGUGGGUGAUUUUUCAUCAGACGGAGGUUAUCGCAGAUCAAUUCCUCACUCAGAAGUGUUCUUGGCAGAAGGGUUCAACCAGUAUGGAAACCAUCCUCGCAACGACAUCGCACUAGUCAAACUAGCGGAGCCUGUCUCGCAUGAUAGGAUCAUUAAAAUAUGCAGGAGUGAAGUGGAUCAUGGAACACAUGUGCGCAUGAGUGGACUAGGAGUCACUUCUACCAAAUUCAGGACUCAAUCUUCUCCAUUUUCCUCUCCCU
This is a long non-coding RNA of Symsagittifera roscoffensis, 287 nucleotides long. RefSeq lists it as uncharacterized. The record is from RefSeq and is a predicted model, not a curated record. The transcript is spliced from 3 exons. Lineage: Eukaryota; Metazoa; Xenacoelomorpha; Acoela; Convolutidae.